UUGUUCGGAAUUAUUGGGCGUAAAGCGCGUGUAGGCGGUUUGUUAAGUCUGAUGUGAAAGCCCCGGGACUCGAACCUGGGAAGUGCAUUGGAUACUGGCAGACUUGAAUACGGGAGAGGGCAGUGGAAUUCCUGGUGUAGGAGUGAAAUCCGUAGAUAUCAGGAGGAACACCGGUGGCGAAGGCGGCUACCUGGACCGAUAUUGACGCUGAGACGCGAAAGCGUGGGGAGC
Molecule: ribosomal RNA, 231 nt
Filed under: uncultured bacterium
Lineage: Bacteria
Description: partial 16S ribosomal RNA
Rfam family: Bacterial small subunit ribosomal RNA
Source: RNAcentral